UGCAUUAGAAAACUGCGGAAAGCUCAUUAGAAAAGUGUAAAUGAAAAGUUGUUAUAAUAAUACGCAUACCUUCUGUAAUUCUGAGGCUAAUGCGUGCAGGCAACAAGACAGUUCCAAAACAUGCACAUAAUAAGUUGAAAUAUCACCAAUUUAUUGGGUUGAUGUGCAACACAAUUAUGUAAGCUGUUGCUUGUCACAAAAGCGAUUAUAUUCUUACCUAUCAGCUUGCGAUGAUACGCUAGUGACGUAGUAUGGCUGUUACGGGUGGCGAAGAAUUAGGGUUUGAUCUCGGAGAGGACGCUUGAGAAAUAGCGGCUACAUCUAAGGAAGGCAGCAGGCGCGCAAAUUACACCAUCUUGACAGACGGAGGUAGU
This 374-nucleotide ribosomal RNA is filed under the name Mucochytrium quahogii. RNAcentral describes it as "labyrinthulid quahog parasite QPX partial Eukaryotic small subunit ribosomal RNA". It matches the Rfam family "Eukaryotic small subunit ribosomal RNA", at positions 75 to 468 of the family's 1831-position model. Lineage: Eukaryota; Bigyra; Thraustochytrida; Thraustochytriidae. The record is from RNAcentral.